Aotus nancymaae (Ma's night monkey) is the source of this 96-nucleotide unclassified non-coding RNA. It matches the Rfam family "Y RNA". From Rfam's summary of the family: Y RNAs are components of the Ro ribonucleoprotein particle (Ro RNP), in association with Ro60 and La proteins. The Y RNAs and Ro60 and La proteins are well conserved, but the function of the Ro RNP is not known. The record is from Ensembl. Lineage: Eukaryota; Metazoa; Chordata; Mammalia; Primates; Aotidae.
GGCUUGUCCAACUGCAGUGGUGUUUACAACUAAUUGAUCAGUUAGAGAUUUCCUUGUUCCUUCUUCACUCCUAUUCCUUCACUUGACUAGCCUUAA